CACUAGGAAGCUAAAUAGGGCUUGUAGCGUUGGCCUUUUAAGCCAAAAACUGGUGACCGCCGACCACCUCUAGUGA
This 76-nucleotide transfer RNA is filed under the name Inegocia japonica (rusty flathead). Its description in RNAcentral is "tRNA-Lys". Lineage: Eukaryota; Metazoa; Chordata; Actinopteri; Perciformes; Platycephalidae. The record is from RNAcentral.